RNAcentral lists this unclassified non-coding RNA (241 nucleotides) under Hevea brasiliensis (rubber tree). The record is from RNAcentral. Lineage: Eukaryota; Viridiplantae; Streptophyta; Magnoliopsida; Malpighiales; Euphorbiaceae.
CGGCCAUUCCUUAUAUUUAUUCCAAGUGUAAAAAAUGAUGAGCCAUAGGCACGAAUACGAAGUAGUACUUCCUGUCCCUCAUAUUCCCUGCCAUCAGUUUUAGUUUCUUUCUUUUUGUAGUCAACAUCAUGUUCAUCCAUGUGGGUCUGAAGAACAACAUCACCAGCCGCACGGAAGAUUUGAGCAUUUUUUCCCAGCUCUUUCUGAAUUUCCAGCAGACGAGUAUAUCUAUUACAACAUA